This 74-nucleotide transfer RNA is filed under the name Thermofilum sp. RNAcentral's name for it is "tRNA-Ala". It matches the Rfam family "tRNA". From Rfam's summary of the family: Transfer RNA (tRNA) molecules are approximately 80 nucleotides in length. Their secondary structure includes four short double-helical elements and three loops (D, anti-codon, and T loops). Further hydrogen bonds mediate the characteristic L-shaped molecular structure. tRNAs have two regions of fundamental functional importance: the anti-codon, which is responsible for specific mRNA codon recognition, and the 3' end, to which the tRNAs corresponding amino acid is attached (by aminoacyl-tRNA synthetases). tRNAs cope with the degeneracy of the genetic code in two manners: having more than one tRNA (with a specific anti-codon) for a particular amino acid; and 'wobble' base-pairing, i.e. permitting non-standard base-pairing at the 3rd anti-codon position. The record is from RNAcentral. Lineage: Archaea; Thermoproteati; Thermoproteota; Thermoprotei; Thermofilales; Thermofilaceae.
GGGCCCGUGGUCUAGCGGUAGGAUGUCCGCCUAGCGCACCGAGGUCCCGGGUUCAAAUCCCGGCGGGCCCACCA